ACCUACUCCCUCAUCUCCAAACGUUCAUGACCCAAUGACAUGGCCUACCAUAGACUGGUGGAGCUCUGCCUGUACGGUUGACAGUGGUCACUGGCUAUCCAGAAUUUGAGUAAGGGUUAUCGCAGUGACAAGAUUACGCAAAGAAUCGGUUUUGUCUGACUUUGCAAGAAACGGCUCUACCUAUCAAAGAUCAGCAUGGUAGAUGUUGUGUUCCUAUGCAUUGGUUGUGUUGUCGUCCUUUGUGUCAUACAACUACUUCGACUGAUCACUGCUGACUGUGACCUGGUGCUACAAUGGGCAUCAAAAUUUGGAAAAUCUCCAAAGCGCCUGAGAGGUAAAGUGGUGUGGGUGACUGGGGCCUCCAGCGGUAUCGGGGAGUCCCUCGUUUACGAGCUGGCAUCUGUUGGAUGUCGUCUGGUGCUGUCUGCCCGUCGAGAAGAGGAGUUGAACAGAGUAAAGAAGCAAUGUCUGACAUGUGGCCCGCUUCAAGACAAUGACAUCAUGGUGGUGCCAUUGGACAUGGUCAAGCAACAUGAACAUGCAGACGCUGUCAAGAAAGUCCUCCAGCAUUUUAAACAGAUAGACAUUCUGGUGAACAACGCUGGCCGCUCACAGAGAGCUGAAUGGGUCAAAACAUCCGUUGUCGUUGAUCGUGAGAUGCUGGAAACCAAUGUCCUGGGACCCUUAUCACUGACUAAAGCUGUCCUUCCCGACAUGAUAGCUCGGAGAGACGGUCACAUUGUGGUCAUGAGUAGUGUUGCUGGGAAAGUAGGGGGGCUGUUGCCAGGAUCGUACACAGGGACUAAGUAUGCACUCCACGGCUGGUUUGAACGUUUGCGGAUUGAGCAGUAUUCCGACAACAUCAACGUGACGAUGGUCUGUCCUGGGCCAGUCUAUUCCAACCUACUAGCUAUUGCCAUGACUGAGGAGAAAGGAAAGGUCGUGGGAGGUGAGAUGGAUGCAGGAGAGAAGAGGAUGGCGACGUCCCGGUGUGCUAGUCUCACAGCAGUCGCCAUCGCCAAUCAACUGGAUGAGGUGUGGAUUUCGUUUCAUCCGGUACUGGCCUAUACUUAUGUGUAUCAGUACCUGCCUUCCAUCGCAAGAAGCCAGGCCUGUAAAAGGGGUAUAUUCCAAUUCAGGAAGAGCAGAGAGGGUCAGUAGAGCUACCUGCGAUGCCAGCUCGACAUUUGACAGGAUAGUCCACUGACCACACAUCUGUGAAGUUAAACCCUGAAACCAUUCCAGUGAAAUGGCCAAGAUUUCUGAAUGACUGUUAAAGAGACAAUGUCCCUAUUUAUAGCUCUGUUUCUGAAUCCAGUGGUGUGGUACCCAUCUACUGUGGAAUGAGCAGCGACAUACUUUGACCAAAGUCUCUGCUGAGAAGCUGUCAGACUGCUGUGUAUUAUAUGCAACUGUAAAAGAAAUAAAACAAAUUGAAAAUUUAUAGAAAA
RNAcentral lists this unclassified non-coding RNA (1451 nucleotides) under Haliotis rubra (blacklip abalone). RNAcentral's name for it is "dehydrogenase/reductase SDR family member 7-like, transcript variant X1". The record is from RNAcentral. Lineage: Eukaryota; Metazoa; Mollusca; Gastropoda; Lepetellida; Haliotidae.